This 717-nucleotide long non-coding RNA is filed under the name Brassica rapa (field mustard). RNAcentral describes it as "long non-coding RNA (BRAP_LNC002806)". Lineage: Eukaryota; Viridiplantae; Streptophyta; Magnoliopsida; Brassicales; Brassicaceae. The record is from RNAcentral.
ACUCGCCGUCUUCCCGAGGUCCCUCUAGAUCUCCCCUAUCACGACCUCGAGUUUCGACACUUUCGCGGAGUCUGAAUCCUUGACAGCCGUCAGCAUGGCCUCGGUUUCAGACCAUCUACCCUGCAGCUCCACCAACUCCCCAGCAAGACGACUGGUCUCAGAACCGCACUCGCUGAUCAUCCCAUUGAUCAACGACAUGAACUGCGAAACGAGAAAAAAGUAAAAAAAAAAUAUAAAACUAAGUCCGAGAGAGAAUGUAUAUAUAACGAUCAAGAAGAUCAAGUGAGCGACAAACCUUUCCGCGAAUUCCCGACGCUACCCUCGAGCCUCCUUGCUGCGAAGAUUCCCCGACAUUACCCUUGGUAAGCUUUCUCUUCCGGCCCUUAGGCUGAGCAACCAGAACAGCACUAGGAGCACGCAACGCUAGAACGAUUUCUUUCCUGGACGGAGGAGGAGGCAUAGAGUCAGCAGCCCUCUCCUUAUCCUCGACAAUGAUCAGAGUCGUGGACGAUCCGCCAGGUAGAGCCUGAGCAUCUGGAAUGCCCGAGCCUGCGACCUCGGUCCCGUGACCCGGGGAAAUGGCCCGCGCAGAAGAAGACGGGAACUCGGUGCCAGCUCGAACCAGUUCCUUCUCGGCUUGGCGACAAACUAGUCUCUCUCGGAAGGAGAGAUGGUCAGCAACACAACCGGCGCUUCAAACGGAAAAGUCAGAAUCGG